RNAcentral lists this long non-coding RNA (199 nucleotides) under Manihot esculenta (cassava). RNAcentral's name for it is "long non-coding RNA (MESC_LNC012742)". Lineage: Eukaryota; Viridiplantae; Streptophyta; Magnoliopsida; Malpighiales; Euphorbiaceae. The record is from RNAcentral.
GACAAGCUGCUGUAUUUUCUGUAGAAUUGCUGAAGAUGAGAGAUGCUAUUCUGGUUUGGAUGCUGCCCUUAUAUAGCUGGAGAAUCCCAAUUCCAAUUUGAUUAGGGUUUUGAAAUCUCAAUUUGAUUUGGUCUUCUUUGUAGUCUUUGAUUCCUCUUUGGACUUUGUAUUUGAUUGAGAAUGGAACUCUCUAAGUGAA